This is a long non-coding RNA of Lathyrus oleraceus (garden pea), 4805 nucleotides long. RefSeq lists it as uncharacterized. The transcript is spliced from 8 exons. Lineage: Eukaryota; Viridiplantae; Streptophyta; Magnoliopsida; Fabales; Fabaceae. The record is from RefSeq and is a predicted model, not a curated record.
CCUAAUUCCUAAAUCAGUAUCCAUAAAAAACUAGAAUUAGAAAUUGAUUAACUAGAAUGAAAAGAAGUGUUAAUGUGGUGGCGAAUAAAUUGGAGGUGGAGACGGAUACCUAUUUGGGCUAAAGGCCCAAGGUCCACCGUCCAAAUCUGGAUUUCAACCUGUUUGAAAAAAUCCGAGAACCCAAUACAAGCGUGCCACGCCACGAAAACAGUGUUAACGUCAAAGCGGAUGCCUGUCACCGUCGGCGCCUAGAUUCUCUCCACGGGUGAUCCGAAUUCCUCCGUGCAAAACUCCUGUUUCCAUGUCGCCGACGAUGAUACAAGUUUGAUACCGUGUUUCGUUCGCGAUGAAGAUUGAAGCCUUGUCGCGGGUGUUACGAAGACAGAGAUAUCACUUUCGGAUUCUUUUUCAACGCCUCACUCAUUGUCCCCUCCAAUGAUAUCUCCGGUUUCUAGGAGGUUCAGGGUGCACGUAGAAACACGAACGGUUGGCGGUGUUGUCCCUCCCGGUAGCGUGCGAUUUCAAGAAACAGGGAGAAAGGUUAUGAAGAUUGAGAAUGGUUUUUCGCGAUCGCGAAGGUGAAAGCGUCGAAGAAUGAAGAUCGUUUCGGAAGUCCCUUCAAGAUUUGUUUCUAGGUUAGAUACCUCUCUGUUUGUGAGAUUCAUUUCAAGCUCUUCUUCAUCCGUUUCCGUCUACUUCUGUUGUGAGCAGUUACGAUUCCGCUCCACUCUCGCUUUUUUGUUAUGGAGUUCUCGUUGUUCUGUGAGUGAGGGAGUUGGAAUUGAAGGUUUCUCUUUGUGGAUUGCAGGUUUGGUUGGUCGUUGUAUGAAUUGGAGAACUCAGUUACAGGAUGGGAGAAAACCAAAUGCCGAGUUCAGUUCUUGUUACAGAAUCCAGUGGAAUUCAUUUGUAGGAUCGAAUUACAGAGUUGAGAUGCAAGGUCUAGUUGCAGAAUUGAGUUGCAUCAUUUGAAGCUUGAUGUAUUUGUGAAAAAAUGUGAAUCUGAAUUCGGUGAAGAAUUCUGAGUUUUACUUAGUGAAGGGUGUAGAGGUUGAAGAAGAAGAGCAGAAGAUGGUGAAAAAGCAUAAGGUUGGGGAAGAACAUGGCCGGAAGGGAUUGGAGAAUUCUAACAAAAAUGGAAGAGCACACGAUCAUGAUAGGGGGAAUCCUAGUUUGAAGAUUCGAGCCCUAAUUCCGCUCCCUUCACGUCACAGAAUGGACUCAAGGCCAAGAACUUCAACCGAUAUCAAGAACACCAUGGAAACAAGGCUAGCAAUUCGCACAAACUUCAACCGAUAUCAAGAACACCAUGGAAACAAGGCUAGCAAUUCGCACAAGCAAUGGAAUGAAAACAUGACGCCAUGAGUUACGAUAAAUUGAAGCAACUUACCCGAAUGAAGCGAUGCGGAGGUUCCGGUGCCGUUCACAUGGGACUUUCUUUGUGUGCUUUCUACAAUUUCUUCUUCUUUCUUCUUCUUUUGAGUUCGUGAGUGGUGAAAAGAUCUUCUUUUGAGUUCGUGAGUGGUGAAAAGAGACUGAGGCGUCUUAGCUCUAGCAGAAUUGAAUCUUCGAUGUGAAGCUUCAAUGGCUUCUCUGAAAGAGAAAAAGAGCUCUGGUGAGGGUGAGGGAGAAGGUUGCAAGAGAGAGAGAGUGAAGGUUUAAGCCAAAAAAAUGCCAAGGCUCAGAGUGUGAGUGAUCAAUCCCUUAAAUAGAGUUGAGGUUCGGGAUUUGCUAGCUUCGGAUUGAGGUUAGGAAUUAGUUGAGGGUGGCUUGGAGUUAGUUAGGGACUACUCACUGAGUUAGCUGAUAACUCAGUUAAUUAGUGAGCAAACACAGUUAGUUAUUUGAGUUGAUGUUGGUUAGUGAGUGAGCGAAUUGAAACUUGACUGGCUACUGCAGGUUAAAAUUAGAUUACAGUCCUGUUGAAAUGGUUUUGACGACCUGUUAUUCAUGUUACAGGUUUGGCUUGUAUCAUUAUGAAGUUAGAAUGGUUGGUAAGUGAUUGUUUUGAUGUUGUUGGAUGUACAGGUUGAAGGAAGUGAAAUGCAGUGGGAUUCUGCAGGUGUGGUUCAGCUCAAAGCACUGGAAAAAUGACUAUCUUGUCAACGAACUCGACAUCCUCAGCAAAGAAGCCAUAAAAUUCGGAGCUAUGAAAAUAGGAAUCUUUUGCAGCAAACAGGCUUAGCAAACCCGCCUGAGUCGUUUUCCAAAUUCUCACGUCAACAAUUCUCCUGAUCUAAACAACUCUAUGGGCUUAACAUUGUUACUUUCCUGUAACAGAUGAUGUUGUAGUCAGAGAAUCAAUGCCUUGCAUGUUCCUUUUUUUCAGGUAAGUGACUUUCCGUCAAUGGACGCUUAGGUGUUGUUCUUCACUGCUUAGCAUCUCCUUGAUGUUUUUUUGCUUGCAUCGAACCUUGCUGUUGAACCGUCAUGUAAUGCUACAGGUGGUUCUGCUCUCAUGCUCUUUGCAGGUCUCAUCUACGGCACUCGUGUCCAAGCUGGAACGGUAUGUCGGUUGAUGGAAUGGCGUUGUGCAACCAUGGACUUGAGACUUUUGCGUGUCACUGCAACUUGUUGAUGCUUUGGGUUAUUACUGUCAUUUUGCUUUGGAGGAGACAACAGCGAUACUUGGGGUUGGGGAUUGCAUCAGUGAUUUUGACAUUUGACUUAAAUACGCAAAUUAGCUUACUACUGGCUACGACUUUGCGGGUUAGAUGGUCGGUGCAAUUGGUUAAAUAUCUUGACGACAGUGUUGGUUUUCUGCAGCAGCAUAUAUGCGGCGUCAGUGUUUCCGUAGCAGCAUUGGUGUGAUGGUUCAGGUUUACAUUAAGCAGGGCUUGUGGUAGAUGCAAGGCUUUGAAUCGAUUAGCAAGUUCAGGUCUGCAGAUUCUGUUUGGAAAUUACAGGUAGCCUACCAGACCGGCUUUGGGUUAUUAAAAGGCUUGUUGAGCAUGGCCAUGGGAUUGGUAGCUAUGAGUUUGGUAGACUUGAACUGGUGAUUAUUAUGGGGGAUGUUCAAUUCAGUUUAGUUACUCAAUUUUUGUCAGAUUGAAGAGUUAAUUAGUCAGAUGAUGAGGUUAACUGUGGUGAAUUGUUAAGGUGUGUGCUGCUAUGCUAAGUUUUCUGUUUUGGUUGGUGAUAAAAUAUUCACUUAUAACUGCCAAGUAUUAUGGAGUGUAUACAGAUAUUGCAGCCAGUGCCCCACCGACGAACAAGACAGCUUUUGACAGCAGACGGUCUUUCGGUACUUGCUGCGCUGUUGUUAUCACUACCCUCCAAAACCUGUAUUGAAAAUGCUCUCCUGGCAUGGCUUGACGGCAACAUUUCAUUACACUGCUCCAACUCUUUACUAGAUUCAGCAUCAACCUUGGCAAACUUAUGAAAGUUGCGGAGCUUAGCUGUCAAACGAAGAUUACGACGUGGCUCCCCUGAAGACAUUAAUUCCCCAACUGUUUCACUUUUAAGACUUAUAUCAAUGGACAUUGGCGAUUCUGCUACUUCUGAAAGGUUUUGGAGGGAUAUCAGAUGGUUGCCGGGACCUGACGAACACAACUGCCGCGUUGAAGCCCGAAAAAUUCCAGCUGCUGCACUAGCUUCAAUAAGUUCUAUCUUCCUUUCUCUGUCAUUUUCCAUCAUUAAUGAAAAUGGUUGUUUGAAUUUGUUCGUAUGGUUUAUGGUCUGCUAUGUUGAUAAAUGUGCAAUUGUUAUAAGUUUGUCUUGCUACUUAUUUUCAUGCUUGAACUAUUCUGAUGCCAUUGUUAUGAUUGUGCAGAAUUCAUGUCUGCUGCAGGUCCACAUGCUUGAGUUCAUGUGGUGAAAUGGCUAUGAGGAAUAACAUCAGAGCCAUUCAUCAAUAGACACUGAAUCCAUACUUCAUGAAGUCUUCAGUUCAUCCAAGCCAAAACGAGCCAGAAACUUGUGAUUCUCUUCAAGGAAAACGGAAAAGGUGGUACCAACUCUCUCUAUGUCAGCAUUAACAUCGCCACCUCCUUGUAUCACUUCCCUGAAUUUUUUCCUAUCAAGAGUUAUUCCGUUAAGCGUGGAAACCGUAGGAAAGCUCACUCGCUGCUAUUGUCUAUGGUUACUGCAGGGUUUGCCAUUUCUACAGGUUGGCUGCUGUCGUUGCGGAAUGAUUGGGUCCACGUGGUUAUGUUCGUUGUUGCCGCAAUUUCCUGAACUGAGAUGGUUCUUUGGUGCAGCUGUUGGUGUACUGCAGGACGGUGCACCAUGAUUGUGUAACGGAUGGAAAACAAACCCAUUCGAAGCCCACUCGAACGUAAAAUUUGGAGAAAUUCUACAGGGAGUAUUAACAUUCUGUCAAAUGGUGCAGAGCAAUAUUCUGCAAGUUAAAAUGGAAUUGUAGGUGGUGGUGUGGCCGUUCCUAUCAUGUUCAAAACACCAGAGGAUUGUUGCACAAUCUCAACGGCAGCAGUAUCAUCCAUCUUCAUUUUAGACCUUGAUAUUGAUGGUGUCCCUGUAAAGUUUUAGCUGCACUUCAAUAAUGCUUCUGGACCAUCAUCACGAGAAGGAGAAUCCCACAACUUUGAUGCUUAACAUCCCUCAUUACUCCACCAUUUGUAGCAUCAAUACAAGGAGAACUGGACAUGCCAAUGGCAUAAGUGAAGUUAUCAGGUGUACUAGAAACAAACUGCUGAUGUUCAGGCUCAGCGGAAUGUACCGGUCGAGUAGAUUGAGAGGACAGCGGCUGGAGCCAUUCGAUCUUCCUCUGUAAUUGGAUGAUACAUUGUGGAUUAGUUACUAUUUUUUUUUUAUAUUGAAGAGAACCGUAAGUUGCAACAGUGUCA